This is a non-coding RNA of Trichonephila inaurata madagascariensis, 1554 nucleotides long. NCBI's taxonomy places the organism in Eukaryota, Metazoa, Arthropoda, Arachnida, Araneae, Nephilidae. The record is from the annotation of a GenBank genome assembly.
UUGGAGGCCGGGGAAAAGUUGACUUUUCUUCGUAAGACGGCGUGUCCCUCGAAUCUCGUCGCGAGGAGAAAGGGACGCUGCCGUCGAAAGAGCACGGUCGCUGCUGCCGUGUCCGGUGCGCCUCCGCCGGCCCUUGAAAAACCGAGGGAGAGGGUGUGAUUUUCGUGCCGGUCCGUACCCAUAUCCGCAGCAGGUCUCCAAGGUGAACAGCCUCUAGUCUCUAGAACAAUGUAGGUAAGGGAAGUCGGCAAGUUCGAUCCCUAACCUCGGAAAAAGGAUUGGCUCUUGUGUCUCGGUCUCUCUGGACUUCCAUAAUUAUUUCUGAAGCUCCUAUCGUGACGGGGACUGGUCUUCGAGAUCGGACUCCGUACUCGAGGUGGGGUGGACGGUGGAAGGUCCUUCUCCCUAAUCAAUGGGGGUUUGGAGUGCCGGAGGACGAGCAUGAGACGAACAAGAACUGGCACGGACCCGGGGAAUCCGACUGUCUAAUUAAAACAAAGCAUUGCGACGGCCGGAGAGCGGUGUUGACGCAAUGUGAUUUCUGCCCAGUGCUCUGAAUGUCAAAGUGAAGAAAUUCACCGAAGCGCGGGUAAACGGCGGAAGUAACUAUGACUUUCUUAAGGUAGCCAAACGCCUCGUCAUCUAAUUAGUGACGCGCAUGAAUGGAUUAACGAGAUUCCCACUGUCCCUAUCUACUAUCUAGCGAAACCGCAGCCAAGGGAACGGACUUGGCGAAUUCAUCGGGGAAAGAAGACCCUUUCGAGCUUGACUCUAGUCUGACUUUGUUCUAAGGCAUUAUUGGCGUAGUCUAGGUGGGAACCCUUUCCCCAUCGAGGGUCGGGGUGAGAUGUGAAAUACCACUACUUUGAUCGCCUUGGGACUCAUUCGGUGAUGUUCUAGAAUUUUUUCCAAGUGAAAGAAUUGUUUCAAUCGUGCUUUGAAGCGUCGCUCAAUUGGGGGCGAUGCGAGGAACUCCGAAGACAGUGUCAGGCAGGCAGUUUGUCUGGGGCGGAACAUCUGUCAAAUGGCAACGCAGGUGUCCCAAGGCCGGCUCGGCCGGGACGGAAACCUGGCUUAGAGCAAAGGGGCAAAAGCCGGCUUGCUCUCGUUCUUCAGCAAGGAAGGGGACCUGGAAACAGGGGCCCAUCGAUCCUUUCUUAAUUCUUUUAGAUGUGAGAGUCUCACGGGAGAGGUGUCGGAAAAGUUACCGGAGGGAUAACUGGCUUGUGGCGGCCAAGCGUUCAUAGCGACGUCGCUUAUUGAUUCUUCGAUGUCGGCUCUUCCUAUCAUUGCGAAGCAGAAUUCGCAAAGCGUUGGAUUGUUCACCCACUAACAGGGAACGUGAGCUGGGUUUAGACCGUCGUGAGACAGGUUAGUUUUACCCUCAUGAAGACGGGUCGUCGCUACGGUCAAACUUGCCCAGUACGAGAGGAACCGUAGGUUGGGACAUUUGGUACUGCGCUCGGUGGUGCCGCCGGUGGCGCGAAGCUACCAUCCGGUAGGAGAACGGCUGAACGCCUCUAAGCCGGAAGCCUGCCCGGUGAUGGUGAGGAU